CCGGCACGGGUGAGUAACACGUAUCCAACCUGCCGUCUACUCUUGGACAGCCUUCUGAAAGGAAGAUUAAUACAAGAUGGCAUCAUGAGUUCACAUGUUCACAUGAUUAAAGGUAUUCCGGUAGACGAUGGGGAUGCGUUCCAUUAGAUAGUAGGCGGGGUAACGGCCCACCCAGUCUUCGAUGGAUAGGGGUUCUGAGAGGAAGGUCCCCCACAUUGGAACUGAGACACGGUCCAA
This 237-nucleotide ribosomal RNA is filed under the name uncultured bacterium. RNAcentral's name for it is "partial 16S ribosomal RNA". It matches the Rfam family "Bacterial small subunit ribosomal RNA", at positions 100 to 334 of the family's 1533-position model. The record is from RNAcentral.